RNAcentral lists this small RNA (236 nucleotides) under Aotus nancymaae (Ma's night monkey). RNAcentral describes it as "Metazoan signal recognition particle RNA (ENSANAG00000010322.1)". The stretch from base 68 to 203 matches the Rfam family "Metazoan signal recognition particle RNA", at positions 108 to 243 of the family's 299-position model. Rfam says of the family: The signal recognition particle (SRP) is a universally conserved ribonucleoprotein. Lineage: Eukaryota; Metazoa; Chordata; Mammalia; Primates; Aotidae. The record is from RNAcentral.
GCUUCAUUUGUCAAAUUCCUAGACAGAGCAAUUAGGUAAGACAAAAAGGCAACCAACCUGGAAUUGUGUCUGCACUAAGCUUGGCAUCAAUAUGGUGACCUCCUGAAAGUGGAGUACCACCAGGAUGCCUAAGGAGGGGUGAACUGACCUAGGUUGGAAAGGGAGCAGGUCAGAACUCCUGUGCUGAUCAGUGGUGGAAUCACUACACUGUUCCUUUUUGCAGAUGACAUGAUUUU